UGUUCACUGUGUGUACACUAUAUGUGUGUGUGUGUAUAUGCAUACACACUCACACACACACACACACACACACACACACACACACACACA
RNAcentral lists this microRNA precursor (90 nucleotides) under Loxodonta africana (African savanna elephant). Its description in RNAcentral is "miRNA (ENSLAFG00000024803.1)". The record is from RNAcentral. Lineage: Eukaryota; Metazoa; Chordata; Mammalia; Proboscidea; Elephantidae.